This 241-nucleotide ribosomal RNA is filed under the name uncultured bacterium. Its description in RNAcentral is "partial 16S rRNA". It matches the Rfam family "Bacterial small subunit ribosomal RNA", at positions 505 to 745 of the family's 1533-position model. The record is from RNAcentral.
GUGUCAGCAGCCGCGGUAAUACGUAGGGUGCGAGCGUUAAUCGGAAUUACUGGGCGUAAAGCGUGCGCAGGCGGUUUCGUAAGACAGACGUGAAAUCCCCGGGCUCAACCUGGGAACUGCGUUUGUGACUGCGAGGCUAGAGUACGGCAGGGGGGGGUAGAAUUCCACGGGUAGCAGUGAAAGGCGGAGAGUUGUGGAGGAAUACCGAUGGUGAAGGCAGCCCCCUGGGUUAGUACAGACG